Long non-coding RNA from Centropristis striata (black sea bass), 1095 nucleotides. RefSeq lists it as uncharacterized. The record is from RefSeq and is a predicted model, not a curated record. The transcript has 4 exons. NCBI's taxonomy places the organism in Eukaryota, Metazoa, Chordata, Actinopteri, Perciformes, Serranidae.
UAUGCAGAACUUUCCAGCGCUUUUCCUCCUUGUUCCUGACCCAGAAUCUUCUAACUGUCCCCCUUCCAGGCUCAGGCAGAUGGUGAUCAAUCCACACAUUCCAUAAUCCCAGCAAUAAAAGAUACUGUGGGUUAGACUUACAGUCCAUCAUACCCAGGACUACAGUUCCCUUGAUGUCUAGCCACAUAAAUUCUUCGAGAAGACAAAAACUUCCUAUGCAGUGGACGUAGUUGGAAACAGGCAGCUUGUCACACUUAAACGUCACAUAUUAUGCUGAGUGAAUCAGAAUGGACCAAAGGUUGUUGCUGAGAGUCGUCAUCACUGAAGAUGAUAUAAGGAAGGUGACUUUAAAUGAGAGACCACAGUCUAUUGAAGAAUUAAAAGUGCAACUGGUGGACAAACUGUCACUGCAGUAUGACUUUAAACUGCAGUAUGAAGAUCAAGACUUCCAUAAUGCCCUUUGCAAUUUGACUGAAAUAACUGAUUUACCUGAAAGAGCUACACUCAAAAUCAUCCCUCUUGUGACUCUCCAUUUAACCACGUUGUCAUCACCCACCACGACUUCAGACACUGAGUGCAGCACAGCAGACACUGAGAUCCUGUCGACUGGAAGAGCAUCACCAUCACUAAGACAACAGUGGCCAGAAUUCUUUGAUGUACCCAAUUUCUCUGUUGAUGUUGAGUAUCGACUCAGACAGGCAGAUCUUGCCUUUAUGAAGGACGGAACACGUAUGCCUCUGCCACGAGAUAUGAAGCAUGACAUACUAGAAAAACUUGCUGAGACAAUGUACAGUUUCAAGGCUUACCCUAAAGAUGAUGACUUCUGCAGUGUUGCAAAAGCACUGAUUAGCAAACACCCCUGCCUCACUGAGCCUGGAGCACACCGAUGGUAUGGCUGGAAAAACAGCCUCAAAUUUAAAAUGGCCAAUUAUCGCACAAAGCUUCGAAAAGCUGGAUGUGAGGAUGUAGCAAUCAAUGGAGGCAAAAGAAGUAAAGGCAACCCAGAAGGAGAAUCCUCAAGCAAGAAUAUCAAACGGCCAAAAAGAGGUGAAGCAAACUACCUGCCUAACUUACCUGAAGGACAUGAUGAAACAA